UGAGGAUAGUAUGAGGUAUUAGUGACGGUGAAGCUAGUUAUUGAAUGAGUUUUGGCGCUGUGGACGCAGUUGAACAUGUGUUGGAGUUUGUGACUGAUUCUUUUUAUCAAUUUGGAAAGUUUGAUGAGGUGGUGAUUGCUGCAAUAUCUGUGAAUUCAUUAAAGCAGUAGUCCUGUUUAGGAAGUUUUGUGGUUGCUGAAAUCGAAGUAAGGAAGAAGGAUGCUGUUUAGAAGGAUCCUGAAGUGCUGCUGCAGCCAUAGCUUGAUACAUGUCUGUUUGCAUAUUUAGGAUGGAUGGAUCUUUAAUAAUGGUGCAAACCUGUAGCCAUAGAUUGAGUGAGGUUCCACAAAGACACAGGAAUUAAUCCAUCAAAUUAGCAUUCCUGUAGCCGUAGUUGGUUAAGAGACUUUAACUAGCCUAUGGAAUCAGGUAUUUCUCCUGAGAAUGCUAUGUAAGAGAGAUCCAACAUCCUUAGAGGACUGCUCCAAUUAGACUUUGAAAGUUCAUCUUUCAGCUCCAUUAUGUGACAAACUCGGUUCUUCAAGAUUAAGAAAACCAAGUAUGCCAAUUGCAACAAAAGAUGAGUGGCAGGAGCUGAU
Arachis ipaensis is the source of this 599-nucleotide non-coding RNA. The record is from RefSeq and is a predicted model, not a curated record. Lineage: Eukaryota; Viridiplantae; Streptophyta; Magnoliopsida; Fabales; Fabaceae.